GACGAACGCUGGCGGCGUGCUUAACACAUGCAAGUCGAACGGAAAGGCCCUGCUUUUGUGGGGUGCUCGAGUGGCGAACGGGUGAGUAACACGUGAGUAACCUGCCCUUGACUUUGGGAUAACUUCAGGAAACUGGGGCUAAUACCGGCUAGGAGCUCCUGCUGCAUGGUGGGGGUUGGAAAGUUUCGGCGGUUGGGGAUGGACUCGCGGCUUAUCAGCUUGUUGGUGGGGUAGUGGCUUACCAAGGCUUUGACGGGUAGCCGGCCUGAGAGGGUGACCGGCCACAUUGGGACUGAGAUACGGCCCAGACUCCUACGGGAGGCAGCAGUGGGGAAUAUUGCACAAUGGGCGGAAGCCUGAGGCAGCAACGCCGCGUGCGGGAUGACGGCCUUCGGGUUGUAAACCGCUUUCGCCUGUGACGAAGCGGGAGUGACGGUAAUGGGUAAAGAAGCACCGGCUAACUACGUG
RNAcentral lists this ribosomal RNA (468 nucleotides) under uncultured bacterium. RNAcentral describes it as "partial 16S ribosomal RNA". It matches the Rfam family "Bacterial small subunit ribosomal RNA", at positions 28 to 507 of the family's 1533-position model. The record is from RNAcentral.